This is a long non-coding RNA of Homo sapiens (human), 565 nucleotides long. RefSeq lists it as uncharacterized. The transcript is spliced from 3 exons. Lineage: Eukaryota; Metazoa; Chordata; Mammalia; Primates; Hominidae. The record is from RefSeq and is a predicted model, not a curated record.
CAGCAGGAUGCCCAGGAGUCAUUUAGCGCAGAGACCCAGGCCCAAGUCCUGCCUCUGCCUCAUCCACAGGCUCCCCGUGUGACCUGGUGACAUACAGAGCCACCCAGUCUUUACCAUCAUCACUGUUUGGCUGUCUGACCCACCUAAUGUACAUCACCUGUGUCCUUUUGUCAAACACCGGGACUGCUUCCGCUUGCGUCCUCACUCCAGACACUGCAGCUGCGGACAUCCCUGGAAAUGUGUCUUGAGAUUUCUGCAAGGGCCAGAUAUGCAAGGCAGCUCCCGAAUGCUGAAGGAGCAGAGAAACCAAAGAACAAGGCAGACAAAUCCAGUUUGCUGGUACAGGGUGAUUUAUUUGGGUGACCUUACAGACAAGCUUGGUCUUGGGCAGCCACGAGACAAACAGAUCUCCGUGCCUGUCAUCCUAGAGCCAAGGCUUAUGUACCAUAGGGAAAGGGUAUGAGUGUUCUGUGCAAGACAAUUAAAGGCAGCCCUCCAGAACAGGCAAGAAUCUGCAUACGUUAUAGCCUAUAAUUGGUGUGAUAACAUCAAGGUGGACAUAGUC